Molecule: long non-coding RNA, 219 nt
Filed under: Paramuricea clavata
Lineage: Eukaryota; Metazoa; Cnidaria; Anthozoa; Malacalcyonacea; Plexauridae
Source: RNAcentral
UUUGUCAUAUCUUGCUUAGUUCUCGAAAUAUUUAGACCGAAAUUAAUGAGCUGUCUGCCAUCUUGGACCAAUUAUUGACCUCAUUAACUAUGGUUUUUAUGACGUCAGAGUUGGGUUAACCAUGUAAAACUACUCUAGAAUGACCGAGUAACAAUCCAAAAUUGUUUGAAAUGUUUUUAAUCAUUUCUAAAUUUCAGACAGCAACCGGAAACGAAGUUU